AGCACCACAACGGGUGGAGCUUGCGGUUUAAUUGGAUUCAACGCCGGAAUCUUACCGGGACCGACAGCAAUAGUCGAAGGCCAGGCUGAAGACUUUGCCGGAUUAGCUGAGAGGUGGUGCAUGGCCGUCGUCAGUUCGUACUGUGAAGCAUCCUGUUAAGUCAGGCAACGAGCGAGACCCACGCCCACAAUUGCCAGCGUACUCUCUGGAGUGACGGGUACACUGUGGGGACCGCCGCUGCUAAAGCGGAGGAAGGAAUGGGCAACGGUAGGUCAGUAUGCCCCGAAUAUCCCGGGCUACACGCGAGCUACAAUGGUUGGUACAAUGGGUAUCUACCCCGAAAGGGGACGGGAAUCUCCUAAAACCAAUCUUAGUUCGGAUUGAGGGCUGCAACUCGCCCUCAUGAAGCUGGAAUCCGUAGUAAUCGCGUUUCAACAGAACGCGGUGAAUACGUCCCUGCUCCUU
This 465-nucleotide ribosomal RNA is filed under the name uncultured Methanosaeta sp. Its description in RNAcentral is "bacterial SSU rRNA". It matches the Rfam family "Archaeal small subunit ribosomal RNA", at positions 875 to 1338 of the family's 1478-position model. Lineage: Archaea; Methanobacteriati; Methanobacteriota; Methanomicrobia; Methanotrichales; Methanotrichaceae. The record is from RNAcentral.